RNAcentral lists this ribosomal RNA (253 nucleotides) under uncultured bacterium. RNAcentral's name for it is "partial 16S ribosomal RNA". It matches the Rfam family "Bacterial small subunit ribosomal RNA", at positions 524 to 776 of the family's 1533-position model. The record is from RNAcentral.
UACGUAGGGUCCGAGCGUUGUCCGGAAUUAUUGGGCGUAAAGAGCUCGUAGGCGGUUUGUCGCGUCUGCUGUGAAAUCCCGAGGCUCAACCUCGGGUCUGCAGUGGGUACGGGCAGACUGGAGUGCGGUAGGGGAGAAUGGAAUUCCUGGUGUAGCGGUGGAAUGCGCAGAUAUCGGGAGGAACACCGAUGGCGAAGGCAGUUCUCUGGGCCGUAACUGACGCUGAGGAGCGAAAGUGUGGGGAGCGAACAGG